Molecule: long non-coding RNA, 5292 nt
Filed under: Citrus x clementina
Lineage: Eukaryota; Viridiplantae; Streptophyta; Magnoliopsida; Sapindales; Rutaceae
Description: Citrus clementina (C. clementina) long non-coding RNA (CCLE_LNC001127)
Source: RNAcentral
AAGCCCUUUGUUGAAAGCUCAAGGAAAUCAGAGCAGAAAACACCUGAACAAAAUCAUAGAGCAAUAAGUGAGUUGGAUGAUUUUUUUUUUCACUUAUUAUUUAUUUAAUAAUUCCUGAAAUUGGGUUCCACAACUGCCUACCAUGAUAAAUUUGUCUUCACUAUAAAUGAUUGAAAAAUUAAUUUAAUUAUUUUAUGGAUAUUCUUACAAGUGGUUUUGUAUCUGUGGUGUGGAUAUAGUAGAUCCUUUGAAAGCUGAAACUGCUCUGAAAACUUCAUUAGUAAGCGAAAAUAUGCAUAUAAUAUGAUGGCAACAUGUGUCGCAAUGUCACUGCCAUAUUUCUUGGCUUUAUUUUAUAGCCAUUAGCAUUAAUUACCCAUCACUCUUAUUGGUGGACCAACCACCGGCUCACCAUCUUGCUGUUUCUACUCUUUGCAGACAUAUUUCGUGCACACACUUAUUCCACCUUCUUCAAUAAUAGCAACACAAAUAUUUCUUAAAAUAACUUCAGUUUCGCUUUUUCAGUAUAUAUACAUAUAUAUUCAUGGCAGUCAUGAUGCAGUCAUUUAAAGUUUAUGGAGAUCUGUGUGCCCCUAUCACUAUCUCAUCCAUGAUUCUCAUCUAUAUAUAUAUAUACACACAUAUGUAUAUGCGCCCAUAGUUCGUACUGUUUUUCAGAAUGUUGUGUUAAUUCAAAGUAUCUCAAGUUGUGUGGUGAUCGGUGACGGAUGCUUAACGUUAUUAAGUAGAGUCCAAGAGCUUUUGAACUUUAACUAAUUAUAAGACUUAGGGUAUACGUAUGAGACUGUCAAACUUUGGUUAAUACCAACCUUUACUUUGGCUCUGUUUGGUAUUAUCUAUGUAGUGAUAUGACUUCUAGUUGUUGUGACUUGUGAGAUUAAUGUUAGUCAACCCAACUACGUUGAGUCCAACAGCUUUUGAACUGUAACCAAGUACAAGACUUAGAGGUAUAUAUGCUUGAGAUUGUCCUUAAAACUUAGUUGUUUCUGUAUAAUAACCUUGGCAAACCAAAAUCUUGAUUCCACAAGUAGUUUGCAAACUAACCAUCAUCAGAGAUAUGUUGGCCACUUUUUCAUAUAUUUGGCAUAUCGAUUAAGUCAUAUAAUUAAUGAUUUCAUUGAGCAUUAAGACUGUAAAUGCAUGUUAGCUAACUUUCAAAUGAGUCUGUAUAAGCGUCAAAAAUGUUAUUGCAACAACAUUUUUGAAAUUUUUUACAACAACAUGAAUUGAUUAAUCUACAGAUUUAGAAUAUAAUCUACAUGGAUUAAAAAUAUUAUAAUGUUUACAGAUUUACGUAUUUACUAGUAAUAAUUUAAAUUGUAUACUACACCCUUCGGCUUUUCUUACAAUUCUGUUCUUCUCUUUUUUGGUUUAUCUUUAUCUUUCUAAUGGAAAUUUAUCUAUGAGAUGGUGAUCCAGUAAUGAUAUUUGAAUUAGCCCUAGUCGUCUAAAUAUGAUAAUCCAGUUCAGUUCUGCUUAAUAUCAAUGAAUAAUGAUCUUACAGUCAAAUGUUUUUUCUUGUCAUGACAUAUCAUUAGAAAGAUACAUGCGUUGAAACUACAACGCUCAUUUUCAUGCGACUUACACAAAAUACUUUGAUUUUUGGCUUCAGUGAUUAGGAAACGUUAAAUUUUAUGCUCUAGAAUGAUAUAUGCUUACGCAUUUGCUUUUGAAAAAUGCAAGCUGUAUAUUUUGUUGAUGAAAAGACGUAUAUAUAAUUGGGUUGAAAUUAUUUAUGUGUGCGUAUGAAACUAAAUCUUAUUGGUCACAUCUCAGGCUCUUGAAGGAAACCAAUUGAAAUUAGAAGUAUCAUUCCAACACCACUGGCUUUUUCUCUUUAAUAGAAAAUUGCAACUCAAUUAAUGUUCAGAUUUUCUACUCUAGUUUCAAUGUUUGGAUCUCCUAUCUUUCAAUGUUAUUACCCUACUGUGAAAUGGAGACUUUGUAAGAUACAAAUAUUCUUUUUUUGUUUAUUUUUAUAUUUAAUAAAUAAGACUUCGUGCAUGUAAUUGCUAUAAGCAAUCCAUUUCAAUAGCAAAAGCCAUAUAAAUAUUCAGCAACGGGGUUGGGUAUAAUUUAUUUUUAUUUGAUUCAAAAAUUAAUUUUUACACAAAAUUCUAAUGGCAUAUUUAGGGUGCAUUUGGAAUAUAGGUGCUGUAACUUUUAAGGUGCACCUGCUGUGGAAAAAAAAAAGCUAUAAUUAUUAAACAAAAGUUAGUAAUAUCUAGUAAAUAUAAAAUUUAAAUAAUAAUUUUGAUAAAAUUAUUAAAAAUAUAAAAGAUUUUUCAUGAUACAAAUGAAAGACUUUAUUAAUAUAGCUUCUAAGGUACAACAGCUAGUGUUUAUCAAACAUUUUAGUGCUAUAGUUUGGAAGCUACAGCUGCGCAACCUCAAUUUCAAACGCAUCCUUAAUUAGAGAAAUGAAAAGAGAGAAAAGAAAAAAAAUAAAGGAAAAAUGAUAGAUUUCAUAUUAAACUAUUCUUUCCUCGUAUUCUCUCUUUCUCUCUCCUUUCCAUUCCUCUUCUCUCAUUUCUUCUUCCUACCAAAUAUGAGCUAAAUUCUGAAAGAAUUCUUAGCAAUGGAUAUGUUGCAGGCCCUCACAUUUGCUGGCGUACGUAGCAAACAAUCUGAUUUAACGUUACAGCUUCAACGAUUUGCUGCUGCCAGCACAAAAUUAGCACCUGCCCACACACAACCCCCCCCCCCCCCCCCCUCCAAACCAAAAAAGAAAAAGUUAGGAUAUGCCAACCACGUGAAAUGAUGAGUAGAAGAAUCAAAACAAUAUCCAAUGUUCUCUUCUCCAAAAAAAAAAAAAAUUCCUAUGUUCUAUCAACUCUUUAGGCUUUUAGCAAUAUAUUCUCACCAUUGUAGCUAUUCUUCAAUGUGAGAUGAUGAUCCCAUUUAACUCUGUUUAGUGGAAUGGCAUUUGGAUUAAACGAAAGUCUAGAAAUAAUGAUAUGUAAGUGUUGGUUUAAAAAUAGUUUUGCAGCAGAAAAUAUUUGGAUCACAAUUCUCAUACAAUAUAUAAAAUUAGCAUAAUGCAGAAAUCGUACCUUAACUUUUUCGUAGAAGUAAUUUAGCCUCCCAAAUCACGAUAUGUCACCACCAAUUUUGUUAGAUCACGAUCAUUUCCCAAAGAUCUUUCAGGUUAUAACUCAAGUUUGAUCUGUACUUGAUGUGUAGACGCUUUAUCAUUUGCUAACUCAAAUGAAAUGACAAUCACAAACAUAAAACUAUAAUUAACUCAAGAUUGAGAUUGCAAUAAAAUCAAUUCCUAUGAUAUUUAAUAAGUCUGACAAUCAUUUUAAAGUUAAUUAAAUCUCAUAUAUGAUUAUGUUCAUAAGUAAAUUCAUACAUGAUUAAGACAAAUCAUUCAAUAAAUUUAUUAUAGUGUAAACAUAAAUAAAAUGCUCAACUCUAUUUAUCAAUUGCGAACUCAAUUUAUUUAAUCAUAAGAUAACUUGUAUUUUAUAUCUUCUGUGAAUCCAUAUAAUGAUCACAUAAAAUACAUAUAAUAUGAUUAAACAUACAUGAUUCAAAAUACAAUUAAGAUAUUUGAUAAAAUAUUUCAAAUAUUUUAUUAAUUAGAUAAUAAAUGAUCAAUAUGUUUUAAAGAACACAUAAUCCCAGCAAUAUGACCUUAGACCAAAUUACAUGUUUGAUAUGUAUGAUGAUGAUCCCAUGUUCAUCACCUAAAAGCUGACUCUAGAAAUAAUCAUUUAAGAUGAUGAUCCCAUGGUCGAUUCUGUUGAUAUGUAUGACCUUAAGCCAAAUUACUUUUUUUUUCCCCUUCUCAUAUCAUUCAAAAGCUACAUGUUGAAAAUACAUACAUACAUACAUAUAUAUAUAAUACUUGAAAUUUUUGCUCUAGUGGUUAAGAAACAUAAUAUUCUUGCUCUGGCAUGGUAUAUUUGUAAUUGCGUUCUCUUGCGUAUCUCUACUUCCCCCGACGAAAAGACAGUAGAAACAUCCGUAGGUGGAAUAUAUGGAAAAUAUGAAAUAGAAUCAUAUUUGUCAGAAUUUAGGCCUUUUGGAGGAAAUUAAUAGAAGUUAAAAAGUUUUUAUUUCAUAAAGAAUCCAAUCUACAUUUGAAAAGAAAACCGAAUAAUCUACAUUUACAAGAGAAACGAAAUGGUUUCAUUCUCCAACUCACUGAUUUUUUUAUGAUCAGAGGAAGUUGAUUGAUCUUCUUUCUCAAUUUUAUCUACUUUUUUGUCAUGUCCAAUCUGGAUUUAACAUACAAAAGUGAUUUUUUUUUUUUCUUUUUGGAUUACACGAGACUAAUGCUUAGAUUACAACUCUUGUUAUAUGAGUUUACUAUUGAUUAGUAAGAUUAAUUUAUAUUAAAUAUAAUAUAUCACUACUCAUAUUUUAUUCUCUUUAAUAUUCGAGAAAUAUUUACUGUACUCACAUUUCAAAAACAGGAAGAAUGCAUUUACAACAAGUGAUGUUUAACUCUCGUAGAAGUUACUAGUUGCAUUUCAAAAACAGGAAGAAUGCAUUUACAACAAGUGAUGUUUAACUCUCGUAGAAGUUACUAGUUGCAUUGCUCAGCUCUUUUAAGUAACUAAUUAUUAACUACGCAGCAGACUGUAUAAUAAAUUUAUGACUUGCAAUCUUUACUUUUACUCGUGUAACAAAUAAAAGCCAAGGAGAGGUUGAUUAACGUCUACUGAUUUGUUAAAAAUAAUAAUAAUAAUAGCCCAAAAUUUUGCUAGGUAAUGCCAACCACGUCAAACGAUGAUUAAUUGAAAAAAAAAAGAAAGAAAAAAUUCCUCCCAACUUUGUGUCAAUUAGUUUCUAGCAAUUAUCACAAUAAUAAUAUCUUGUUUGUUAAAUAAAUUAUUUUGUGAUCCAAUUCAAAUCAACUAAAUAUGAAUGGGUUUUGGGAUGAACCAACUUUUUGCUUUUGUUAUCAUCGUAUAUCAUAAGAAGGCAAGUGUUGAUAAUACAACGUUCUUUUUUUAUGUUAUUACGCUGCACCAAACCAAAUACUUUGGAAUUUUGGCUCGAAUGGUGAAAGGAAACAUCAAAUUCAUGUUAUAGCAUAUGAUAAGUCAUCAAGAUGUGCACCUAGUUGUACCUAUAAUAAGUAUAAUAUACUUUCCGAUGUGUGAAAAAACUACUUGACUAAUGCACACUUCCAUAUGUAAAUAACUAUUUUUGACUGACAAAGUAUGAAAUUUUUCUUAGAGUUGCACUCGUUUGAUCUCUAAUGGCGUUGUCAAUUAGAGAAAAAUAUGAUAUGAGUGUGGGUAACAUAUAUAUAUA